AGCGAACGCUGGCGGCAGGCUUAACACAUGCAAGUCGAGCGGGCAUAGCAAUAUGUCAGCGGCAGACGGGUGAGUAACGCGUGGGAACGUACCUUUUGGUUCGGAACAACACAGGGAAACUUGUGCUAAUACCGGAUGAGCCCUUACGGGGAAAGAUUUAUCGCCGAAAGAUCGGCCCGCGUCUGAUUAGCUAGUUGGUGAGGUAAUGGCUCACCAAGGCGACGAUCAGUAGCUGGUCUGAGAGGAGGAUCAGCCACAUUGGGACUGAGACACGGCCCAAACUCCUACGGGAGGCAGCAGUGGGGAAUAUUGGACAAUGGGCGCAAGCCUGAUCCGGCCAUGCCGCGUGAGUGAUGAAGGCCCUAGGGUUGUAAAGCUCUUUUGUGCGGGAAGAUAAUGACGGUACCGCAAGAAUAAGCCCCGGCUAACUUCGUGCCAGCCGCCGCGGUAA
This 451-nucleotide ribosomal RNA is filed under the name uncultured bacterium. Its description in RNAcentral is "partial 16S ribosomal RNA". It matches the Rfam family "Bacterial small subunit ribosomal RNA", at positions 29 to 523 of the family's 1533-position model. The record is from RNAcentral.